AACGAACGCUGGCGGCGUGGAUAAGACAUGCAAGUCGAGCGGAGUAUCGCGGGUAGCAAUAUUCGUGAUACUUAGCGGCGAAAGGGUGAGUAACACGUAGAUCAUCUACCUCCAAGUGUGGAAUAGCUCGGCGAAAGCCGGAUUAAUACCGCAUGUGGUUGAGGAACGCAUGUUCCGAAAACUAAAGUCGGGGAUCGUAAGACCUGAUGCUUGGAGAUGAGUCUGCGGCCUAUCAGCUUGUUGGCGGGGUAACGGCCCACCAAGGCUAAGACGGGUAGCUGGUCUGAGAGGACGACCAGUCACACUGGAACUGAGACACGGUCCAGACACCUACGGGUGGCAGCAGUCGAGAAUUUUUCGCAAUGGGCGCAAGCCUGACGGAGCGACGCCGCGUGGGGGAUGAAGGUCUUCGGAUUGUAAACUGCUGUCAGUGGGGAAGAAACCCUUAUAUUUAAAAGAUGUAAGGCUGACAUCACCCACAAAGGAAGCCACGGCUAACUCUGUGCCAGCCGCCGCCGUAA
This 521-nucleotide ribosomal RNA is filed under the name uncultured bacterium. RNAcentral describes it as "partial 16S ribosomal RNA". It matches the Rfam family "Bacterial small subunit ribosomal RNA", at positions 29 to 523 of the family's 1533-position model. The record is from RNAcentral.